UGACUCAACACGGGAAACCUCACCAGGCCCGGACAUUGGAAGGAUUGACAGAUCGAUAGCUCUUUCUCGAUUCAGUGGGUAGUGGUGCAUGGCCGUUCUUAGUUGGUGGACUGAUUUGUCUGGUUAAUUCCGAUAACGAACGAGACUCUAACCUAUUAACUAGGCGUUGCCGGUAUAAAUAGCUACCGGCGAGAUUUAUUCUU
Molecule: ribosomal RNA, 203 nt
Filed under: Ceraleptus obtusus
Lineage: Eukaryota; Metazoa; Arthropoda; Insecta; Hemiptera; Coreidae
Description: partial small subunit ribosomal RNA
Rfam family: Eukaryotic small subunit ribosomal RNA
Source: RNAcentral